AUGCACAAGGCCUGUGAUAGGGUUGAAUGGAACUUUUUGAGCAGAAUGAUGACACGCUUGGGCUUUCAUGUAGAGUUUGUAAAUCUGUUGAUGGCAUGUGUCCAGUCAGUUAAAUAUAAGGUCAGAUUCAAUAAUCAAGAAAAAAUAUAUUUUAUUCUUGGAAGGGGACUCCGACAGGGAGGCCCCCUAUGUCCAUAUUUGUUUUUGAUUUGUGAAGAAGGGCUUUAUAGUCUUCUGGCUCAUAGAGAGGAGGUUUGUGGCAUUGAAGGUGUCAGGGUUUGCAGAAAUGGACCAUCAAUUUCACAUUUACUUUUUGCUGAUGACUCCCUUAUCCUUAUGAAAGCUGAUAUGAAUAAUGCAACCUCAUUGAAACAGGUUCUAGAUCAAUAUUGUGCAAGUUCUGGCCAAGUGGUUAGUGAAGCAAAAUGCGGCACUUACUUUAGUCCUAAUAUAAAUAUUUAG
RNAcentral lists this ribosomal RNA (462 nucleotides) under Triticum aestivum (bread wheat). RNAcentral's name for it is "partial small subunit ribosomal RNA". Lineage: Eukaryota; Viridiplantae; Streptophyta; Magnoliopsida; Poales; Poaceae. The record is from RNAcentral.